Telopea speciosissima is the source of this 279-nucleotide long non-coding RNA. RefSeq lists it as uncharacterized. NCBI's taxonomy places the organism in Eukaryota, Viridiplantae, Streptophyta, Magnoliopsida, Proteales, Proteaceae. The record is from RefSeq and is a predicted model, not a curated record. The transcript is spliced from 3 exons.
AAGAAGAGGAGAAGAGGAAAUCGCUCCCAUAAUAGACCAAUGCUAUGAUAGCUUGUUUGCAGACACCACCAAUAUUCACAACUUGGCUGAUUUCUACCAUGCAAUUUCUCAGACCAUCGAAGAAAUCAACACAAAACUUGGUGACACACAAUUUCGCAUACCAAGCACCAAGACACUUGAAAAAGUAUUCAAGGAACAAAUUCAAAGUAAAGACACCGGCAAGCACUUUUUUUUUUGGUCGAAGGAUAGACAUUUUACUGAGGAAGAGUUCAUGUCCUU